CCCCGCAGGGGGAGGGGGCUGCCCGGGCCGGGGAUGCGGGACCCCCGCCGGCUCUCACCCCCCGCCCGGGCCCCGGCCCGCGCUCCCCGCCCCUCCGAGCGGUGCCUCAGCCUUUCCGCCUCGCCUCGGGAGCACCGCGGCCCCCCGGCUGCAGCUCCGGCUCCCCUCUGCCCCCCACCUACCCUCAGCCGUUCUGCUUCCCCUCAGCCUUCUCCAUCUCCUCUCAGCCUCUCCUUCCCUAUCUCUCCUUAGCCAGCCAUCCCACCUCCCCCUAGCCUUCCUCCCCUGCUGUCGGCCUUCCCCAUCCCCUCGGUCCCCUCGUGCCCCCCAGGCAGUCUCUGUGCCUCCCUCAGCCAUCCAGCUGGCUCUGACUCCCCACGCUGUCCCCAAAUCUCCCAGGAAUGAGGGAGGUUCCCUGGCCCUGUAGCGCCCAGGGAGAUCCUUUCAUCUCAGCCACCAGCGCAUCUUCAUGAGCCUGUCCAAGCACAUUACGCAGAUCAGCAGUGCCACAUCCCCCACUUGAUGGCCUCUCAACUGCCCAAACAGCACAGCAACAGCCAGCAGAGAUCCCAAGGCCACCAAGACCACCAUUCCAACCUACAUGUCACAGCACUCUGAUCCAAGGAUGCCAGCUCCAGGCACCUCGUAACACAAUGGAAGAUGUGUCUAGUCCCAGUUCCUGACAUCACCAUUGGCUGGGGAAAGACCCAUCAGGUUCAUUGGAGAAAAAAGAAACAUAUAAGGCAAUUGUUUUGCUUCCACUCUUCCUUUUUAAUGAAACACUUUCUAGUGUUUUAAGCAAAACACGACUUUUCAUUUUGAAAUUUCCUUUCGAACCAUUAAAAUGUUUUAAAGCGGUUGAAGGCGCAGUGAGAUGUUUUGAUUUUUGUCGCUCUGAAA
Long non-coding RNA from Vidua chalybeata, 900 nucleotides. RefSeq lists it as uncharacterized. The record is from RefSeq and is a predicted model, not a curated record. Lineage: Eukaryota; Metazoa; Chordata; Aves; Passeriformes; Viduidae. The transcript is spliced from 3 exons.